GCCAUUUUGACAAUGUUAAUUCUGCCUAUCCAAGAGUAUGGAAAAUCUUUCCAUCUUCUAAGGUCUUCUUCAAUUUCUUUCUUUAGUGUUCUGUAGUACUCAUUGUUUUGUUUUCACACUUUGUGAAAUUGAUUCCCCAAAUAUUUUAUGUUUUUUGAGGCUAUUGUGAAUGGGAUAACUUUCCUAAUUUCUCUUUCAGUGAAUUCAUUACUGAUGUAUAGGAAUGCAUUUGAUUUAUGGGUGUUAAUUUUAUACGUGCUACUUUGCUGAAUUAUUUAUUAGUUCUAUAAUGUUUCUGUGGAUUUUUUGGAUCUUCCAAAUAUAGAAUCAUGUCAUCAGCAAAGAGUGAUAAUAUAAGUUCUUCUUUUCCUAUUUGUAUCCCUUUAAUUUUUUCUAAUUGUUCUGGCUAGAGUUUCAAGGAUGAUGUUGAAUAAAAUUGAUGAAAGAGGGUAUCCUUGUCUUGUUCCAGUUCUUAAUCUUAGGCACAAGAACAUAGACCCUGUGCCUAAUAGAAGAAAAAGUAG
Molecule: long non-coding RNA, 524 nt
Filed under: Marmota monax (woodchuck)
Lineage: Eukaryota; Metazoa; Chordata; Mammalia; Rodentia; Sciuridae
Source: RNAcentral